UACGGGGGGGGCAAGCGUUGUUCGGAAUUACUGGGCGUAAAGGGCUCGUAGGUGGCCAACUAAGUCAGACGUGAAAUCCCUCGGCUUAACCGGGGAACUGCGUCUGAUACUGGAUGGCUUGAGUUCGGGAGAGGGAUGCGGAAUUCCAGGUGUAGCGGUGAAAUGCGUAGAUAUCUGGAGGAACACCGGUGGCGAAGGCAGCUCACUGGGACGGUACUGACGCUGAGACGCGAAAGCGUGGGGAGCAAACAGG
Molecule: ribosomal RNA, 253 nt
Filed under: uncultured bacterium
Lineage: Bacteria
Description: partial 16S ribosomal RNA
Rfam family: Bacterial small subunit ribosomal RNA
Source: RNAcentral